Molecule: ribosomal RNA, 252 nt
Filed under: uncultured bacterium
Lineage: Bacteria
Description: partial 16S ribosomal RNA
Rfam family: Bacterial small subunit ribosomal RNA
Source: RNAcentral
UACGGGGGGGCAAGCGUUGUUCGGAAUUACUGGGCGUAAAGGGUUCGUAGGUGGCCAACUAAGUCAGACGUGAAAUCCCUCAGCUUAACUGGGGAACUGCGUCUGAUACUGAUUGGCUUGAGUGCAGGAGAGGAACGCGGAAUUCCAGGUGUAGCGGUGAAAUGCGUAGAUAUCUGGAGGAACACCGGUGGCGAAGGCGGCGUUCUGGACUGCAACUGACACUGAUGAACGAAAGCCAGGGGAGCAAACGGG